CACCAAGCCUCUUUGUCAGGACGUCGUUACAAUGGUUACAUCUCUUGGGUAGACUUGUCUGUCCUCGUCAUGAUUAUAGUCCAUUAACUCCUCAUAACCUCGUCUGUUACUGUCUUGGAAGAACAACUUGUCCCGUUGACGUUAUUCGAUAACAAUGGAAAGGAUAGCUAAUUCGUUCUGAAUGUGCACACCUUAUCCCAUUCUAACGGUUCAAGAGAGAACCCAUUAGAGUUGAAUGCAGUUUUCCCCCAAGGCGAAUAGCCUAUGUAUGGGAUUUAACACUGCGUUCGUAGUAUGGAAACUCAUAUUU
The sequence is a small nucleolar RNA, 310 nucleotides long. It matches the Rfam family "Small nucleolar RNA snR191".